This 254-nucleotide ribosomal RNA is filed under the name uncultured bacterium. RNAcentral's name for it is "partial small subunit ribosomal RNA". It matches the Rfam family "Bacterial small subunit ribosomal RNA", at positions 26 to 285 of the family's 1533-position model. The record is from RNAcentral.
AGGACGAACGCUGGCGGCGUGCUUAACACAUGCAAGUCGAGCGGAAAGGCCCUUCAGGGUACUCGAGCGGCGAACGGGUGAGUAACACGUGAGCAACCUGCCCUUAGCUUCGGGAUAGCUCCGGGAAACCGGAAUUAAUACCGAAUAUGACUUUGGCUGACAUCAGCAGAAGUGGAAAGUUUUUCGGCUAGGGAUGGACUCGCGGCCUAUCAGCUAGUUGGUGAGGUAACGGCCCACCAAGGCGACGACGGGUA